RNAcentral lists this ribosomal RNA (590 nucleotides) under uncultured bacterium. RNAcentral describes it as "bacterial SSU rRNA". It matches the Rfam family "Bacterial small subunit ribosomal RNA", at positions 55 to 641 of the family's 1533-position model. The record is from RNAcentral.
AUGCAAGUCGAACGAGUUCAUUUGGUAGCAAUACCGAGCGAAGCUAGUGGCGAACGGGUGCGUAACACAUGAGUCAUCUGCCCAGAAGUGGGGAAUAGCUCGGCGAAAGCCGGAUUAAUACCGCAUGUGGUCGUAAGACCAAAGCCGGGGCAACCUGGCGCUUUUGGAGGAGCUCGUGGCCUAUCAGCUAGUUGGUGAGGUAACGGCUUACCAAGGCAACGACGGGUAGCUGGUCUGAGAGGACGACCAGCCACACUGGAACUGAGAUACGGUCCAGACACCUACGGGUGGCAGCAGUCGAGAAUUUUUCUCAAUGGGGGAAACCCUGAAGGAGCGACGCCGCGUGGAGGAUGAAUGCUUUCGGGUUGUAAACUCCUGUCAUUUGGGAACAAGGCCUUACGUUAACUGCGUGGAGGAUUGAUAGUACCAGAAGAGGAAGAGACGGCUAACUCUGUGCCAGCAGCCGCGGUAAUACAGAGGUCUCGAGCGUUGUUCGGAUUCAUUGGGCGUAAAGGGCGCGUAGGCGGCGGGGUAAGUCUGGUGUGAAAUCUAGGAGCUCAACUCCUAAACUGCACUGGAUACUGCUCUGC